RNAcentral lists this ribosomal RNA (253 nucleotides) under uncultured prokaryote. RNAcentral describes it as "partial 16S ribosomal RNA". It matches the Rfam family "Bacterial small subunit ribosomal RNA", at positions 524 to 776 of the family's 1533-position model. The record is from RNAcentral.
UACGGGGGGGGCAAGCGUUGUUCGGAAUUACUGGGCGUAAAGGGCGCGUAGGCGGCCUGGUAAGUAGGGGGUGAGAUCCUGCGGCUUAACCGCAGGGCUGCCUUCUAAACUGUCAGGCUCGAGCACGGUAGAGGCAGAUGGAAUUCCCGGUGUAGCGGUGGAAUGCGUAGAGAUCGGGAAGAACAUCAGUGGCGAAGGCGGUCUGCUGGGCCGUUGCUGACGCUGAGGCGCGACAGCGUGGGGAGCAAACAGG